UACGGGGGGGGCAAGCGUUGUUCGGAAUUACUGGGCGUAAAGGGCUCGUAGGCGGCCAACUAAGUCAUACGUGAAAUCCCUCGGCUUAACCGGGGAACUGCGUCUGAUACUGGAUGGCUUGAGAUUGGGAGAGGGAUGCGGAAUUCCAGGUGUAGCGGUGAAAUGCGUAGAUAUCGAGAGGAACACCUGCGGCGAAGGCGGGUUGCUGGGCUGACACUGACGCUGAUGCGCGAAAGCCAGGGGAGCGAACGGG
RNAcentral lists this ribosomal RNA (253 nucleotides) under uncultured bacterium. Its description in RNAcentral is "partial 16S ribosomal RNA". It matches the Rfam family "Bacterial small subunit ribosomal RNA", at positions 524 to 776 of the family's 1533-position model. The record is from RNAcentral.